RNAcentral lists this ribosomal RNA (468 nucleotides) under uncultured bacterium. RNAcentral describes it as "partial 16S ribosomal RNA". It matches the Rfam family "Bacterial small subunit ribosomal RNA", at positions 28 to 507 of the family's 1533-position model. The record is from RNAcentral.
GACUAACGCUGGCGGCGUGCUUAACACAUGCAAGUCGAACGGAAAGGCCCUGCUUUUGUGGGGUGCUCGAGUGGCGAACGGGUGAGUAACACGUGAGUAACCUGCCCUUGACUUUGGGAUAACUUCAGGAAACUGGGGCUAAUACCGGAUAGGAGCUCCUGCUGCAUGGUGGGGGUUGGAAAGUUUCGGCGGUUGGGGAUGGACUCGCGGCUUAUCAGCUUGUUGGUGGGGUAGUGGCUUACCAAGGCUUUGACGGGUAGCCGGCCUGAGAGGGUGACCGGCCACAUUGGGACUGAGAUACGGCCCAGACUCCUACGGGAGGCAGCAGUGGGGAAUAGUGCACAAUGGGCGGAAGCCUGAUGCAGCAACGCCGCGUGCGGGAUGACGGCCUUCGGGUUGUAAACCGCUUUCGCCUGUGACGAAGCGUGAGUGACGGUAAUGGGUAAAGAAGCACCGGCUAACUACGUG